RNAcentral lists this ribosomal RNA (294 nucleotides) under Triticum aestivum (bread wheat). Its description in RNAcentral is "partial small subunit ribosomal RNA". Lineage: Eukaryota; Viridiplantae; Streptophyta; Magnoliopsida; Poales; Poaceae. The record is from RNAcentral.
AUGGCCAAGUCCGGUGCCCGUAAGGACGCCGCGCAAGUCCGGCCAUCGUCCACCUCGCCGCCGCCGCAGCACUCCCCAGGCGCCACAACAAGCUCGUUCGCCAGCCGCUCUCCACAGCUUCUCUUCUACCCUGGCGCCCCGACAAGAUCCUCGGCCAGCCCCUCGACACCGCCACGCCUGUACCCGCCUCUCAUGGAAUCCUCCUCAGCCAACCCUACAUGGUAUAAAAUUUCUACUUUAAUUCAAUCUUUGGCAAUUACAAUUUCUGUAGCUCGAGUAUGCAACAUUAUGUAA